This 577-nucleotide small RNA is filed under the name Pan troglodytes (chimpanzee). RNAcentral describes it as "retained intron". Lineage: Eukaryota; Metazoa; Chordata; Mammalia; Primates; Hominidae. The record is from RNAcentral.
CGGGUCUCCCGGUCCUUCUGCCAUCAUGCCGAUGUUCAUCGUAAACACCAACGUGCCCCGCGCCUCCGUGCCGGACGGGUUCCUCUCCGAGCUCACCCAGCAGCUGGCGCAGGCCACCGGCAAGCCCCCCCAGUACAUCGCGGUGCACGUGGUCCCGGACCAGCUUAUGGCCUUCGGCGGCUCCAGCGAGCCGUGCGCGCUCUGCAGCCUGCACAGCAUCGGCAAGAUCGGCGGCGCGCAGAACCGCUCCUACAGCAAGCUGCUGUGCGGCCUGCUGGCCGAGCGCCUGCGCAUCAGCCCGGACAGGUACGCGGAGUCGCGGAGGGGCGGGGGAGGGGCGGCGGCGCGCGGCCAGGCCUGGGACUGAGUCCGGCCUCCUGCCCCCGCAGGGUCUACAUCAACUAUUACGACAUGAACGCGGCCAAUGUGGGCUGGAACAACUCCACCUUCGCCUAAGAGCCAAAGGGACCCACGCUGUCUGCGCUGGCUCCACCCGGGAACCCGCCGCACGCUGUGUUCUAGGCCCGCCCACCCCAACCUUCUGGUGGGGAGAAAUAAACGGUUUAGAGACUAGGAG